This 465-nucleotide ribosomal RNA is filed under the name uncultured bacterium. RNAcentral describes it as "partial 16S ribosomal RNA". It matches the Rfam family "Bacterial small subunit ribosomal RNA", at positions 338 to 795 of the family's 1533-position model. The record is from RNAcentral.
CCUACGGGAGGCUGCAGUAGGGAAUCUUCCACAAUGGGCGAAAGCCUGAUGGAUCAACGCCGCGUGGGUGCAGAAGGUCUUCGGAUCGUCAAACCCUGUUGUUAGAGACGAAAGUGCGUGAGAGUAACUGUUCCCGUUUCGACGGUAUCUAACCAGCAAGCCACGGCUAACUACGUGCCCGCAGCCGCGGUAAUACGUAGGUGGCAAGCGUUAUCCGGAUUUAUUGGGCGUAAAGGGAACGCAGGCGGUCUUUUAAGUCUGAUGUGAAAGCCUUCGGCUUAACCGGAGUAGUGCAUUGGAAACUGGGAGACUUGAGUGCAGAAGAGGAGAGUGGAACUCCAUGUGUAGCGGUGAAAUGCGUAGAUAUAUGGAAGAACACCAGUGGCGAAAGCGGCUCUCUGGUCUGUAACUGACGCUGAGGUGCGAAAGCGUGGGUAGCAAACAGGAUUAGAUACCCCAGUAGUC